AGACGGGGCCCGCACAAGCGUGGAGCAUGUGGUUUAAUUCGAAGCAACGCGAAGAACCUUACCAGGUCUUGACAUCCCGAUGCUAUUUCUAGAGAUAGAAAGUUACUUCGGUACAUCGGUGACAGGUGGUGCAUGGUUGUCGCCAGCUCGUGUCGUGAGAUGUUGGGUUAAGUCCCGCAACGAGCGCAACCCCUAUUGUUAGUUGCCAUCAUUCAGUUGGGCACUCUAGCGAGACUGCCGGUAAUAAACCGGAGGAAGGUGGGAUGACGUCAAAUCAUCAUGCCCCUUAUGUUCUGGGCUACACACGUGCUACAAUGGCCGGUACAGACGGACGCAAAGCCGCGAGGUGGAGCAAAUCCUAAAAAGCCGGUCUCAGUUCGGAUUGCAGGCUGCAAUUCGCCUGCAUGAAGUCGGAAUCGCUAGUAAUCGCAGGUCAGCAUACUGCGGUGAGUACGUUCCCGGGCCUU
RNAcentral lists this ribosomal RNA (467 nucleotides) under uncultured Streptococcus sp. RNAcentral's name for it is "bacterial SSU rRNA". It matches the Rfam family "Bacterial small subunit ribosomal RNA", at positions 916 to 1381 of the family's 1533-position model. The record is from RNAcentral. Lineage: Bacteria; Bacillati; Bacillota; Bacilli; Lactobacillales; Streptococcaceae.